Molecule: ribosomal RNA, 799 nt
Filed under: uncultured Bacteroidota bacterium
Lineage: Bacteria; Pseudomonadati; Bacteroidota
Description: bacterial SSU rRNA
Rfam family: Bacterial small subunit ribosomal RNA
Source: RNAcentral
UCGAGGGGUAUUGGUUUUCGGACCAGAGACCGGCGCACGGGUGCGUAACGCGUAUGCAAUCUACCUUUUACAGAGGGAUAGCCCAGAGAAAUUUGGAUUAAUACCUCAUAGUAUUGUUGAAUGGCAUCAUUUAAUAAUUAAAGUUCCAACGGUAAAAGAUGAGCAUGCGUCCCAUUAGCUAGAUGGUAAGGUAACGGCUUACCAUGGCGACGGUGGGUAGGGGUCCUGAGAGGGAGAUCCCCCACACUGGUACUGAGACACGGACCAGACUCCUACGGGAGGCAGCAGUGAGGAAUAUUGGUCAAUGGGCGCAAGCCUGAACCAGCCAUGCCGCGUGCAGGAUGAAGCAUCUAUGGUGUGUAAACUGCUUUUGUACGAGAAGAAACACUCCUACGUGUAGGAGCUUGACGGUAUCGUAAGAAUAAGGACCGGCUAACUCCGUGCCAGCAGCCGCGGUAAUACGGAGGGUCCAAGCGUUAUCCGGAAUCAUUGGGUUUAAAGGGUCCGUAGGCGGUUUUGUAAGUCAGUGGUGAAAGCCCAUCGCUCAACGGUGGAACGGCCAUUGAUACUGCAAAACUUGAAUUAUUGGGAAGUAACUAGAAUAUGUAGUGUAGCGGUGAAAUGCUUAGAUAUUACAUGGAAUACCAAUUGCGAAGGCAGGUUACUAUCAAUAUAUUGACGCUGAUGGACGAAAGCGUGGGGAGCGAACAGGAUUAGAUACCCUGGUAGUCCACGCCGUANACGAUGGAUACUAGCUGUUCGGUNGCAAGACUGAGUGGCUAAGCGAAAGUGAUAAGUA